AUUUCCCCCAAUGGGUUUCUCCGGAUUUCUGGAGACUUGUAGGGGGUUGUGGGAUUUUUGAUGUGUCGUCUCCGGACGGGCGGUGCAGGGUAGUCGAGUUAGACUUGGUGGAAUUCCGUCGAUAGGAAUUGCGUCGAGUCUGGUCGGCUGUGUGUUGGACGGUGCAGGGUAGGCUGCUUGGACAUGGUCGGUUCGAGGAUCGAUUCGAGGGCCGGCCUGUCGAUGAUGUGUGAUGUAUGCGGUCUAGGGUAGGCUGGUUUGUCUUGGUUUAAUUUGAUGUCGGCUCCCGUGCAGGCCAGAGUGAGGGGGGUCCAGGGUAGGUACAGGGUAGGCAGCUUAGAUUUGGUCGAUCUGGAGGUCGAUUCUCCGGCUGGCGGAUCUGACACUGUCGAAACGAGAUGCGAGCGGUGUAGGGUAGGCUAGUUUCGUCCUCGCCAGGUUGCGAUUUGGACGAGAUAUGUAGUUUAGUGUAUACUCUAGGGUAAGUAGAAUUCGAGUUUCGUCGCCGACAGUUUUCUGUGGGUGUAUGGUAGGUGCAGGGUAGGCAAAUCUCUCUCCGGCCAGUACUUGUCUGGUGGUCGUGAGUCGAUUUUUUUGUUUU
Molecule: unclassified non-coding RNA, 601 nt
Filed under: Fusarium oxysporum
Lineage: Eukaryota; Fungi; Ascomycota; Sordariomycetes; Hypocreales; Nectriaceae
Description: partial miscellaneous RNA
Source: RNAcentral